This is a long non-coding RNA of Homo sapiens (human), 738 nucleotides long. The record is from Ensembl. Lineage: Eukaryota; Metazoa; Chordata; Mammalia; Primates; Hominidae.
CCCUGUAUUAAAAAAAAAGAAAAGAAAUAGGGUCAUUGUAGAUGCAAGUAGUUAAGGAUCUUGAAAUCAUCCUGGAUUUAGGGCAGGCCCUAAGUCCAAUGACAGCUGUCCUUAUCACAAGAGGAGAGGACUCAGAAAGAAGACAAUGUGGAGUCAGGCGGAGAAUGGGGUGAGGCAUGUAAGAGCCAAGGAUCGCCCAGGAUUGCCGGCAGCCUCCAUGCGUCAGGACAGACACGCGGAACGGAUUCUCCCUCAGAGCCUCCAGAAGGACCCAGCCAUGCUGCUACUUUGAUUUUGGACUCGUGGCCUCCAGAACUGUGCGGGAAUGCAGGUUACCCCCAAGACCCUGGGGAGGCCACAAAUGUGGUAGAGGAUCGUGGGCAGUGUCUCUUCCUGACCAGCCUCUCCUCCCUGAAUCCUAGCACUGAUUGUAGAAUCCCAGCAGACCGCAAUCCUCAGCCUCAACUACACAGAGCAACCAGAGUGUGAGAUGAGGGGUGGGGAGGCUAAUGUACCUUUGUCCCCAGGGAAGGAUUAGCCACUUUUGAACUUGUCACUGUCUGACGGCCUUUGGGUCUUUCAUUUGAUUUCUGUUUCUAUUUUAUUUAUUUAUUUAUCCUAUUUUAUUUAAACUACAUCUUGGCCAGGUGCAGUGGCUCACUCCUGCAAUCCCAGCACUUUGGAAGGCCAAGGUGGGAGGAUCUCUUGAGGCCAGGAGUUUGAGACCAGCCUGGGCAA